CUCUCUUUCUUUCUUUUUCUCUCUUUUUUACCUCACCGGAGAUUAAGCAUAGUAGUGGACGCAGGUCUCUGCUACAAGGUAUCCAUACCUAUCCAAGCCUAAAUCAUAGGAUGCCUUCAUUCAGAGAAUCUCUAAUACAAAUUUGCAUAAAAGGUCUGAGAUCCAGAAAUAGCUAAGACCUUUCUGAAGGGAACUUGUCCCCUGGAAAAUUGUUUCAUCCCUAGAGGAAUUAAGGAAGUGGAACACAGUUGCAUGCCCCCUGGGAGAUUUACAGAAGGAGGCCAAAAAACGGAAAGCACUUAAAGGCACCCACAUCCUUACACACUGGGCUGUUUCCCCAGAGUGUCCAGGGUGCAGACUGAAUACUCAAUGGCAUCUUUGUCUCAGGCUGUCACAUAUUCAACAGAUCAACUUGAAUGUCAGAAAGCAC
This 430-nucleotide long non-coding RNA is filed under the name Phascolarctos cinereus (koala). RNAcentral's name for it is "lncRNA (ENSPCIG00000032389.1)". The record is from RNAcentral. Lineage: Eukaryota; Metazoa; Chordata; Mammalia; Diprotodontia; Phascolarctidae.